CAGCGGGGCACCCGCU
This 16-nucleotide ribosomal RNA is filed under the name Ophiopogon intermedius. Its description in RNAcentral is "partial 26S ribosomal RNA". The record is from RNAcentral. Lineage: Eukaryota; Viridiplantae; Streptophyta; Magnoliopsida; Asparagales; Asparagaceae.